This 371-nucleotide ribosomal RNA is filed under the name uncultured bacterium. RNAcentral describes it as "bacterial SSU rRNA". It matches the Rfam family "Bacterial small subunit ribosomal RNA", at positions 527 to 896 of the family's 1533-position model. The record is from RNAcentral.
AGGGGGGGCAAGCGUUGUUCGGAAUUACUGGGCGUAAAGGGUCUGUAGGUGGCCAACUAAGUCAGACGUGAAAUCCCUCAGCUUAACUGGGGAACUGCGUCUGAUACUGGAUGGCUUGAGUGCAGGAGAGGAAUGCGGAAUUCCAGGUGUAGCGGUGAAAUGCGUAGAUAUCUGGAGGAACACCGGUGGCGAAGGCGGCAUUCUGGACUGUAACUGACACUGAGAGACGAAAGCCAGGGGAGCAAACGGGAUUAGAUACCCCGGUAGUCCUGGCCCUAAACGAUGAAUGCUUGGUGUAACGGGUAUCGAUCCCUGUUGUGCCGAAGCUAACGCAUUAAGCAUUCCGCCUGGGGAGUACGGUCGCAAGGCUG